CUAUGACCUGGUGCACAACUUUAGACACCAUCAUCCUGGAGCAGCACUGCACCCUCACUAGCCAGAGUGUUGGUGACACCCUCAAGGCCAAGGCCAUGUUCAAGACUUCGGACUUCAGUGAUGCACUUGUGCUGGGCAAGUCUCCCCAGGGCCUCGGUGCAUGGGCGCUGUCCAUCCUUUGGUGCUGAAGCAGCCAAGCGGCCCAAACCUACCCGGCUGCCUCUUAGGAUAUGACUGCACAGCCAGUGGCCUCUACUAGAUCCUGUACAACUUCACAAGACACCCAGACACUGCGAGUGCUGCCAGCACGUGCUGCAAGAGUCCUGAGGGACCACAAUCCUGAAGACAUUGAAUGGUGGUUGCAGGGCCUCAUGGAUGUUCCCCAGCCCCUCUCAUUGGCUCUGCUCCGGGUGGUGAAGGGGGAUAACGUUUCUGUCAAUUCUGCCAUUAUUGCCUAGCAUGAAAAGGAGCGUAGCCCAGAAGCAGGGCCUGGUGCCCAGCCUGCCUAACAAGGGAGAAUUUGUAGGCUUUGUGGACAGAUCUCGGAGUCCAUAUCUAUCACCCACUAACUUGAUAUGAGACAUUAGUAAAAUCAGUUCUCUUUUCUGAACUACA
Molecule: non-coding RNA, 615 nt
Organism: Chlorocebus sabaeus (green monkey)
Lineage: Eukaryota; Metazoa; Chordata; Mammalia; Primates; Cercopithecidae
Source: RefSeq, a predicted model, not a curated record